Molecule: ribosomal RNA, 253 nt
Filed under: uncultured bacterium
Lineage: Bacteria
Description: partial 16S ribosomal RNA
Rfam family: Bacterial small subunit ribosomal RNA
Source: RNAcentral
UACGUAGGUGGCAAGCGUUGUCCGGAAUUAUUGGGCGUAAAGCGCGCGCAGGCGGUCCUUUAAGUCUGAUGUGAAAGCCCACGGCUCAACCGUGGAGGGUCAUUGGAAACUGGGGGACUUGAGUGCAGGAGAGAAGAGUGGAAUUCCACGUGUAGCGGUGAAAUGCGUAGAGAUGUGGAGGAACACCAGUGGCGAAGGCGAGGUGCUGGGUCCUUUCUGACGCUGAUGCGCGAAAGCCAGGGGAGCAAACGGG